This 253-nucleotide ribosomal RNA is filed under the name uncultured bacterium. RNAcentral describes it as "partial 16S ribosomal RNA". It matches the Rfam family "Bacterial small subunit ribosomal RNA", at positions 524 to 776 of the family's 1533-position model. The record is from RNAcentral.
UACGUAGGGUCCGAGCGUUAUCCGGAAUUACUGGGCGUAAAGAGUUCGUAGGCGGAUUUUUAAGUCAGGUGUUAAAUAUGCAGGCUCAACUUGCAUGCUGCAUCUGAUACUGGGAGUCUUGAGAGUGGAAGAGGUAAGCGGAAUUUCCGGUGGAGCGGUAAAAUGCGUAGAUAUCGGAAAGAACACCAAUGGCGAAGGCAGCUUACUGGGCCAUUUCUGACGCUGAGGAACGAAAGCGUGGGGAGCGAUCGGG